CUUCCCCUGGCCUUAAAAACAGAGUCCUCUGUUCUCUUGUCUGCAUAAUAAACUCACUGCUAUAAUAAAGCGCGUAGAUAGAGAUUAGAGAGAGUACACUAUGACUAUGUUUCAUGACUGAGAAAAUAGGGCCCUACAAAUACAUUUCUUACCAAACCAAAACAAAACUUACAAAGGGUACCCUUUCAUUCUAGUUCUACUACUA
RNAcentral lists this long non-coding RNA (205 nucleotides) under Trifolium pratense (red clover). RNAcentral describes it as "long non-coding RNA (TPRA_LNC011540)". Lineage: Eukaryota; Viridiplantae; Streptophyta; Magnoliopsida; Fabales; Fabaceae. The record is from RNAcentral.